This 521-nucleotide ribosomal RNA is filed under the name uncultured bacterium. RNAcentral's name for it is "bacterial SSU rRNA". It matches the Rfam family "Archaeal small subunit ribosomal RNA", at positions 345 to 866 of the family's 1478-position model. The record is from RNAcentral.
AACCUCCGCAAUGUGAGAAAUCGCGACGGGGGGAUCCCAAGUGCCAUUCUUAACGGGAUGGCUUUUCAUUAGUGUAAAGAGCUUUUGGAAUAAGAGCUGGGCAAGACCGGUGCCAGCCGCCGCGGUAACACCGGCAGCUCUAGUGGUAGCAAUUUUUAUUGGGCCUAAAGCGUCCGUAGCCGGUUUAAUAAGUCUCUGGUGAAAUCCUGCAGCUUAACUGUGGGAAUUGCUGGAGAUACUAUUAGACUUGAGAUCGGGAGAGGUUAGAGGUACUCCCAGGGUAGAGGUGAAAUUCUGUAAUCCUGGGAGGACCGCCUGUUGCGAAGGCGUCUAACUGGAACGAUUCUGACGGUGAGGGACGAAAGUUAGGGGCGCGAACCGGAUUAGAUACCCGGGUAGUCCUAACUGUAAACGAUGCGGACUUGGUGUUGGGGUGGCUUUGAGCUGCUCCAGUGCCGAAGGGAAGCUGUUAAGUCCGCCGCCUGGGAAGUACGGUCGCAAGACUGAAACUUAAAGGAAUU